GAACGGAAUAUGUUGGAAGGGCUAACCGGAAGGCAUAUUUAGUGGCGAACGGGUGAGUAAUGCAUGAGAACGUAUCCUCAAGAGGGGGACAACAUUGGGAAACCGAUGCUAAUACCCCAUAAGCCGGGAGGUAAAAGGAGCAAUCCGCUUGAGGAGCGGUUCAUGUCCUAUCAGCUGGUUGGUGAGGUAACGGCUCACCAAGGCGAAGACGGGUAGCCGGCCUGAGAGGGUGAACGGCCACACUGGAACUGAGAGACGGUCCAGACUCCUAC
RNAcentral lists this ribosomal RNA (272 nucleotides) under uncultured bacterium. RNAcentral's name for it is "partial 16S ribosomal RNA". It matches the Rfam family "Bacterial small subunit ribosomal RNA", at positions 64 to 342 of the family's 1533-position model. The record is from RNAcentral.